Molecule: ribosomal RNA, 253 nt
Filed under: uncultured bacterium
Lineage: Bacteria
Description: partial 16S ribosomal RNA
Rfam family: Bacterial small subunit ribosomal RNA
Source: RNAcentral
GACGAACCGUGCGAACGUUGUUCGGAAUCACUGGGCAUAAAGGGCGCGUAGGCGGCUUAUCAAGUCAGGGGUGAAAUCCGGCAGCUUAACUGUCGAAGUGCCCUUGAUACUGAUGAGCUCGAGGGAGAUAGGGGUGUGUGGAACUUCCGGUGGAGCGGUGAAAUGCGUUGAUAUCGGAAGGAACGCCGGUGGCGAAAGCGACACACUGGAUCUCUUCUGACGCUGAGGCGCGAAAGCCAGGGGAGCAAACGGG